UCUGAUUCUGCCUCUGAACAGAAAGUGAAAGACGCAGGACUUUUGGGUAUUCCCCUUCAAUCUGUUCUCACGGGCAAUACAUACAGUACUAACAUUUUGUGUCUCUUCGCACAAAGAAGUGGUUGGAAUAGUUAGCUGGUGUCCAGAGGACUUGAGCCAUGAAUGUCCCAAAGUGUCCCAGUUGUCAUCAGUUUAAUGUCAUCACGGUUAUGGAUGGUCAGUGUGCAGUCUGCAGAUCUUGCUCUGUAGUGAACAGGUCUGUGUUUCGUUUCUGUGUGGCAUGUCAGAGAGAGUUGCCACACAGCGCUUCGAUCACCAAUUCCUGCACACUGCCGAACUGUGCGCUCCGUGCUGCCCUCCUCAGCGACACAAAAAUCACUGAUCCACACAGCUCUGCGAGAGGAUGUCCAUACUUCAGGGCCUGUCCAGGGUGCAAGACCCUGCUUACACACAACGGAAAAGGCUGCCCCAAUAUCAUCUGCCCUCAGUGUAACACACAUUUCUGCUUCCGCUGCCUCCGUCAGUGCUGCCCCGGGAUACAGGAUAUUGAAACCCUUCGGCUUCUUACCCAUCGACUGUCAAAUUACCUGUUGACUAAUGAUGUAAUUCCAUGCAGAAUUGUGGACAACAAUCAGAGUCUCACUGCUUUUGGACUUUAAUGUAAAAGAUGUGACUAUAAAAACUGAUAAAAGGGAGAACAUUAAAACCCACCUACAGUAUAAUGGAAAAUGUUCAGCUAAGGCUGAACAUUUUGUGAUUUAUAAUGGAAUAUAAACAUAUUUCACCAAGAUUAUAAUCAGGCAUUGUAAUAUGCCUUCAAGGAAGUAAUUUAAUUUUAGUCAGUAAAUAAACUUGGCCAUUACUGAAAAUAUAUACUAAACUCAUUUAAAACAAUGUUUUUUUUUAUUUUUUAUUUAUAUAUAUGUUUUUUUUUUAACCUUUAUUGAGAACUGUUUCUCAUUUGCAACAGCAACCUGGCCAAGAUGAAAGUGUUAAGGUACAGAUAACAUAAAAUUAAGCAUGUAAUUACAACAAGAAAGAGAAGUACACAAUAAAGAAUAAUAAAACAAGAAUAAAAUGUGCAGAUCAUCAGAUCAAAAUAUAGAGCUCCACUGAUUAGAGUGUGCAAAAGAGUGUGCACUUUUCCAACUUAAGCUUUCCAAAGCAGUCACCAGGCCUUCAUGGUUUAAGGGAAUUGAUACAGUCUCAUCGUUAGGCUCAAAAUUAUAGAGAUUCUUUAAAACUUUUCUUUUCAUAUCUUUCUAUGUCAUUUCAUACUAUAUUUAGUGAAUAAAAGCAAUUACAUUUAAUGUAAUUUUACAGUAAAAUACUGUUAAAAAUACGAUUUUUGCAGUGAAAAAGAAAAAGUCAUUGUAUAAUUUACAGUGAUUUUUUUAAAAAUUGACACUCCCAGAAUUCCCUGCAUGACACUUCAUUUGAUGUUUUUUUUUUUUUUUUUUUUUUUUAAACAACAUGUUUCUUCUUAGUUUUUCUUAUCAGUUCAACAUCUACAUCUAAUUUUGUUAAAAUCAUGUUUAUUACAUAGUUUCAGUAUUGUGUGUCACCAUGAUGGGGUUAAGUGUUUCUGUGAAUGAUGCUGUGCACCUUUUAUAUGUAAGUUUUGCCGCCCUCAGCUCAUAGAAAUGCUGUUUGUGAUGAGCUUUGGUUCAUCAUGUGACUUUCUCAUCACCACCAGUUUUUGGUUUUUAUCAGUAGGGCUGUUCGAUUCCACAAUUUUUGUAAUCGAUUCUGAUUCCAAUUCCUGGUCCUGGAAUCGAAUGAAAUCGAUUCCUCACUGUUGUUUUCGAUUCUUUUCCAAUUUUUUUAUUUUUAUUUUUAUUUUUAGAUAAAAAGGAACCUAAUCUCACCAUGAUGACUGCAGGAUAGGUCGUAUAAUUUAUCCUUCCUAUAAUAUGAAGCUGGAAAAAAAAAUAACGAUACGAACAUUUAAGUUUUUUCAGCUUUGCCCGUGAAAUUAAUCAUAGCCCAGCUCUGCAUGAAUUAAAUAAUACAUGAAAUGUCUAAAAUAAAUGUGCCCAGUUCAGUUGAA
This is a long non-coding RNA of Carassius gibelio (silver crucian carp), 2050 nucleotides long. RefSeq lists it as uncharacterized. Lineage: Eukaryota; Metazoa; Chordata; Actinopteri; Cypriniformes; Cyprinidae. The transcript has 3 exons. The record is from RefSeq and is a predicted model, not a curated record.